AGAGUUUGAUCCUGGCUCAGGAUGAACGCUGGCGGCGUGCCUAAUACAUGCAAGUCGAGCGAACAGACGAGGAGCUUGCUCCUCUGACGUUAGCGGCGGACGGGUGAGUAACACGUGGAUAACCUACCUAUAAGACUGGGAUAACUUCGGGAAACCGGAGCUAAUACCGGAUAAUAUAUUGAACCGCAUGGUUCAAUAGUGAAAGACGGUUUUGCUGUCACUUAUAGAUGGAUCCGCGCCGCAUUAGCUAGUUGGUAAGGUAACGGCUUACCAAGGCAACGAUGCGUAGCCGACCUGAGAGGGUGAUCGGCCACACUGGAACUGAGACACGGUCCAGACUCCUACGGGAGGCAGCAGUAGGGAAUCUUCCGCAAUGGGCGAAAGCCUGACGGAGCAACGCCGCGUGAGUGAUGAAGGUCUUCGGAUCGUAAAACUCUGUUAUUAGGGAAGAACAAAUGUGUAAGUAACUAUGCACGUCUUGACGGUACCUAAUCAGAAAGCCACGGCUAACUACGUGCCAGCAGCCGCGGUAAUACGUAGGUGGCAAGCGUUAUCCGGAAUUAUUGGGCGUAAAGCGCGCGUAGGCGGUUUUUUAAGUCUGAUGUGAAAGCCCACGGCUCAACCGUGGAGGGUCAUUGGAAACUGGAAAACUUGAGUGCAGAAGAGGAAAGUGGAAUUCCAUGUGUAGCGGUGAAAUGCGCAGAGAUAUGGAGGAACACCAGUGGCGAAGGCGACUUUUCUGGUCUGUAACUGACGCUGAUGUGCGAAAGCGUGGGGAUCAAACAGGAUUAGAUACCCUGGUAGUCCACGCCGUAAACGAUGAGUGCUAAGUGUUAGGGGGUUUCCGCCCCUUAGUGCUGCAGCUAACGCAUUAAGCCCUCCGCCUGGGGAGUACGACCGCAAGUUGAAACUCAAAGAAUUGACG
Molecule: ribosomal RNA, 925 nt
Filed under: uncultured bacterium
Lineage: Bacteria
Description: bacterial SSU rRNA
Rfam family: Bacterial small subunit ribosomal RNA
Source: RNAcentral